AAAAAUCAAGAAAUUGACUGAUUAUUUUUCUUAAAUUUAGGUUUUUACAAAAGUAUAGUUUUUCUGGUCCAAGGAUUGAUAGCCGCUAUAUUUUUAAUAACUUUUUUUCAUUUAUGAGAAAUACUACCAAACAUAACGGGGUAUUUAAUGAGCACACAAAAAUAAUUUAUUGGUCAUUUUCUGAAUUUCUUUUAGAGGGGGGAAACGGGACACGUAGUUAUGUUAUGUUUUUCAUUGAAUGAAUGAAUAAGGGGUUAGGUGGAUAGUUGAAGUGGUGGCUACUCUUCCAAUGCCAUGUUGGGGCUCAUUCUUAUCUAUUUGUCAACUUGUUUAUUCUGAUGUGUGACCUUAGUUAAUUUAUAUGGAGACUCGUUGUUAUCUUUCUAUUUUUGCAUGUGACCUUAGUUAAUUUAUUUGGAGACUCGUUCUUAUCUUUCUAUUUUUGCAUGUGACCUUAGUUAAUUUAUUUGGAGACUCGUUCUUAUCUUUCUAUUUUUGCAUAUAUUGAGUGUGGGUAACUUUUUAAAUUUUAACUUAAAAAAAACAGACUUUUUAAAUUUUUAUAAAUUGAGUGUGGGUGAUCAACUGAUGAUAGUCUCGUAGUGGUAGUGGGUAAUGAUAGUGACCAAAUUUGGUAGGUGGACCUACCUCCGCCAAAAGUCGCAGGUGGUUUUACUUAGAUUCUCAGUUUAGAUUAGAAGGAAAGAGAGGAAAAAGAAUGGGGGGCUUUUAGAGAAAAGUGGAAAACAAAAGGCAUAGUAUGAUUAAG
RNAcentral lists this long non-coding RNA (769 nucleotides) under Glycine max (soybean). RNAcentral's name for it is "long non-coding RNA (GMAX_LNC003285)". The record is from RNAcentral. Lineage: Eukaryota; Viridiplantae; Streptophyta; Magnoliopsida; Fabales; Fabaceae.